RNAcentral lists this ribosomal RNA (262 nucleotides) under uncultured bacterium. RNAcentral describes it as "partial 16S ribosomal RNA". It matches the Rfam family "Bacterial small subunit ribosomal RNA", at positions 515 to 776 of the family's 1533-position model. The record is from RNAcentral.
CCGCGGUAAAACGUAGGGUGCAAGCGUUAUCCGGAUUCACUGGGUUUAAAGGGUGUGUAGGCGGGCUAUUAAGUCAGUGGUGAAAUCCCCGAGCUUAACUUGGGAACUGCCGUUGAUACUAUGUGUCUUGAAUAUCGUGGAGGUAAGCGGAAUAUGUCAUGUAGCGGUGAAAUGCUUAGAUAUGACAUAGAACACCGAUUGCGAAGGCAGCUUACUACACGAUCAUUGACGCUGAGGCACGAAAGCGUGGGGAGCAAACAGG